RNAcentral lists this unclassified non-coding RNA (1344 nucleotides) under Hevea brasiliensis (rubber tree). Lineage: Eukaryota; Viridiplantae; Streptophyta; Magnoliopsida; Malpighiales; Euphorbiaceae. The record is from RNAcentral.
GGACAUAACACACCAGAAUACCCAUCAAAUGAUUUAAUUGCAAUGCGCUUGGAAGAAAGAUCUAAGCAAAAUAUUGAAUGAUAAUCUUUCAUGGGGAUUGAGAAUAAAUAAUGCCUAUUCGGCUUCUAUUAAAAUUUAAACCCAAAACUUUAAAGGCCUGGGACGACAUUGGCACUCCUUAGCUUCCAUAGAUAAGCAGUACAUAUAGCUGGCACAAAAAUAUCCUACUUGGAAAUUUUUUUCAACAUUUCUAAGAGAUUUAAGAAAAGAGUGGUACUUGAUUCAGAUAAGCAAGAAAAAAGAGAGAAAACAUGCCUAAAAGUACAAAUAUUUUUGCAAUAUAUAUAACAAAUCCUGCAAAAAUGUUUAUAUGAAACAAAACCCAAAUGCAAUCCUCAAACCAUGAACUCUUCAAAUUUCAACCUGCAUCUCACAAAAUCGAAAGGAAUAUUAAUAUUCGGUAGGUGUUAAUAACGCACGAAAAAAAAAGUUUUUCAGUUUGGUGAACUACAAAAGCACCUGUUUUUUGCAGACUUGGAUGAAACUGCUGAUCAAAAGGACUGAAGCUGGCACCCAAUACUCAGUAUCAGAAAACUGUUGAGAUCCCCAAUUCAUUUCACUCAAUUUCUUAGUCCACAGACAAGGAGAAACUGUGGGAGAUAAUUGAGUCCUUUUACUAAGUCACCUUUUCCAUCAGAAACUCAUCAUAGUUUUUUUUAAUGUCUUGAUCCUUGAGAAUCCUCAUCAGGAUUUUGCUGCUGUUGUUGAUGAUUGAAGGAAUUAAGGCUGCUGCGGCUCUGUCCCAUCUGCUGGUAGAAUUGGCUUAAAGCCUGAGAAUUAAACACCCCGGUAUGCCCAUCCUGAGAAAGCCCAAGCUCUAAACCUGGAACUUGCAGAUUAGUACCAUUAAACAUGGAGUAAAAACUCAUCAAACCCAUGUUAAUAUUUGGAAAUUCUACACCAUGGAACCCAAAUUUUGGCAAAGUAUUGGAGUUUUCAUUUCCUAAAUUGGGUGUUGACUGGCUUGCAUUUGAAAUAAAACCUGCCCCAAUUCCACCCACUGAGGGCCACAUCCCACUUGCUACGUUAGAUCUUCCCAAGUUACUACUCAUCAUUGUCCAAUUGGCCCUUUCUCUGGACCCAAUGCUCGGUCCCAGUCCUUCCAUCUUUGUAUGCAAUCCUGAAGAAACAGAGAUUCCAUGUUGAGAAACAGAAGCCCCUGCAGCUGCAAGAGUCGAGGAAGGAAUCGUCCCAGUACCAGUUACAGCAAUAAUCGAUGGUUCAGCUUGCUGUAAGAGCCAUUGAAUUGUUUCUCCAUCGGAUUUAUGACCCAAUUCUCUUGUC